Molecule: ribosomal RNA, 324 nt
Filed under: Hyphopichia pseudoburtonii
Lineage: Eukaryota; Fungi; Ascomycota; Pichiomycetes; Serinales; Debaryomycetaceae
Description: eukaryotic LSU rRNA
Rfam family: 5.8S ribosomal RNA (bases 20-173)
Source: RNAcentral
GUCAACUAACUAAAAUCAAAACUUUCAACAACGGAUCUCUUGGUUCUCGCAUCGAUGAAGAACGCAGCGAAAUGCGAUAAGUAAUAUGAAUUGCAGAUUUUCGUGAAUCAUCGAAUCUUUGAACGCACAUUGCACCUUGUGGUAUUCCACAAGGUAUGCCUGUUUGAGCGUCAUUUCUCCCUCAAACCCCCCGGUUUGGUGUUGAGUGAUACUCCGGUCCACUUCAAAUUUAGCUACAACUUAUGUUCUAAUACUUCGUAAGUAACACUAAAAAGAUCGACCUCAAAUCAGGUAGGACUACCCGCUGAACUUAAGCAUAUCAAU